This 440-nucleotide ribosomal RNA is filed under the name uncultured bacterium. RNAcentral describes it as "partial 16S ribosomal RNA". It matches the Rfam family "Bacterial small subunit ribosomal RNA", at positions 338 to 795 of the family's 1533-position model. The record is from RNAcentral.
CCUACGGGAGGCAGCAGUGGGGAAUAUUGCACAAUGGGGGAAACCCUGAUGCAGCGACGCCGCGUGAAGGAAGGAGUACUUCGGUACGUAAACUUCUAUCAGCAGGGAAGAAAAUGACGGUACCUGACUAAGAAGCCCCGGCUAACUACGUGCCAGCAGCCGCGGUAAUACGUAGGGGGCAAGCGUUAUCCGGAUUUACUGGGUGUAAAGGGAGCGUAGACGGCUUUGCAAGUCCGGAGUGAAAGCCCGGGGCUCAACCCCGGGACUGCUUUUGAAACUGUAAAACUGGAGUGCGGGAGGGGCAGGUGGAAUUCCUGGUGUAGCGGUGAAAUGCGUAGAUAUUAGGAGGAACACCAGUGGCGAAGGCGGCUUGCUGGACUGUAACUGACGUUGAGGCUCGAAAGCGUGGGGAGCAAACAGGAUUAGAUACCCCUGUAGUC